AACGAAUGCUGGCGGCAUGCCUAACACAUGCAAGUCGAACGAGACCUUCGGGUCUAGUGGCGCACGGGUGCGUAACGCGUGGGAACCUGCCCUUAGGUUCGGAAUAACUCCCCGAAAGGGGUGCUAAUACCGGAUAAUGUCUUCGGACCAAAGAUUUAUCGCCUUUGGAUGGGCCCGCGUUGGAUUAGCUAGUUGGUAGGGUAAAAGCCUACCAAGGCGACGAUCCAUAGCUGGUCUGAGAGGAUGAUCGGCCACACUGGGACUGAGACACGGCCCAGACUCCUACGGGAGGCAGCAGUGGGGAAUAUUGGACAAUGGGCGAAAGCCUGAUCCAGCAAUGCCGCGUGAGUGAUGAAGGCCUUAGGGUUGUAAAGCUCUUUUACCCGGGAUGAUAAUGACAGUACCGGGAGAAUAAGCUCCGGCUAACUCCGUG
This 433-nucleotide ribosomal RNA is filed under the name uncultured bacterium. RNAcentral's name for it is "partial 16S ribosomal RNA". It matches the Rfam family "Bacterial small subunit ribosomal RNA", at positions 29 to 507 of the family's 1533-position model. The record is from RNAcentral.